GGGAAUAGAAGUCAGUCUAAUAACGUCGCAUCAUGCGACAACGGCUGACUGACCCACAUCCUGUGGG
This 67-nucleotide small RNA is filed under the name Solibacillus silvestris StLB046. Its description in RNAcentral is "Bacillaceae-1 RNA". It matches the Rfam family "Bacillaceae-1 RNA". Lineage: Bacteria; Bacillati; Bacillota; Bacilli; Caryophanales; Caryophanaceae. The record is from Rfam by way of RNAcentral.